RNAcentral lists this ribosomal RNA (633 nucleotides) under uncultured bacterium. RNAcentral's name for it is "bacterial SSU rRNA". The stretch from base 1 to 542 matches the Rfam family "Bacterial small subunit ribosomal RNA", at positions 338 to 873 of the family's 1533-position model. The record is from RNAcentral.
CCUACGGGAGGCAGCAGUGGGGAAUUUUGGACAAUGGGGGCAACCCUGAUCCAGCAAUGCCGCGUGAGUGAAGAAGGCCUUCGGGUUGUAAAGCUCUUUUGUCAGGGAAGAAACGGUGAUCUCUAAUACAGAUUACUAAUGACGGUACCUGAAGAAUAAGCACCGGCUAACUACGUGCCAGCAGCCGCGGUAAUACGUAGGGUGCAAGCGUUAAUCGGAAUUACUGGGCGUAAAGCGUGCGCAGGCGGUUAUAUAAGUCAGAUGUGAAAUCCCCGGGCUCAACCUGGGAACUGCAUUUGAGACUGUAUGGCUAGAGUGUGUCAGAGGGGGGUAGAAUUCCACGUGUAGCAGUGAAAUGCGUAGAUAUGUGGAGGAAUACCGAUGGCGAAGGCAGCCCCCUGGGAUAACACUGACGCUCAUGCACGAAAGCGUGGGGAGCAAACAGGAUUAGAUACCCUGGUAGUCCACGCCCUAAACGAUGUCUACUAGUUGUCGGGUCUUAAUUGACUUGGUAACGCAGCUAACGCGUGAAGUAGACCGCCUGGGGGNGGUACGGUCGCGAGAAGUUAAAACGUUAAAAGUAAAGUUAGUACGGCGUGAGACGUGACCGACGGACGACGACGAGGGAGGAGG